RNAcentral lists this long non-coding RNA (1211 nucleotides) under Ananas comosus (pineapple). RNAcentral's name for it is "long non-coding RNA (ACOM_LNC017975)". Lineage: Eukaryota; Viridiplantae; Streptophyta; Magnoliopsida; Poales; Bromeliaceae. The record is from RNAcentral.
CGGUAAAUUCCAUAGGCGAAUCCAUACGAAGUAUUGAAAUGAUGGUGUGGCUGUAUGACGGCUGGCUUCCCAUGGAGUGACUGUGAUUGUUAAUAUAUCGUUCCUUAUUGGGGAACGAGAAUAGCUUUCUGACGACUUUUCUCAGUAGGAAAGAAAACGAUAUAACUUCCUGCACCAGCUUCGGCAAAUUGCAAAUCUGAGGGUCGGCCACCUAUCCGUUGUGCAAGCAGACCAGCUACAGCAAUCUGUGAGCAGUCGUUAUCACUUUCGUUGGCAGCGAUGGUUACUUUUGCUGCACGAUUCACUAAGCCAUCAGUAUCUACAUGGUCAGGAGUACAGGGGAUGAAGCAGUAAGUGUUGCUGGGACGAGAGGAAUUAGUGGUAAACAUGAUAACUACUAAGGGAUAACGAAAUAAUUGUAAUCUAUGAAAAUAUAAUGUGGAGUGAAAGAGAUUUUAAGUAAGGCAGAUUUUCAGCAAGGUAAGUAUGUAAGGACUGGACUAUUUAUAGAUGUUUGUAUAUUUGCAAUGUGCCAAAGCCUUCCCUAUCCUAUGAAAUUAGCAGGUAUAUGGGUGUGCCCAUUAACACUAGAGAUGUACAUGUGACCCCUACAACUGUCCCAUUCUAUUCUAUUACUGCAAAAGCAAAGCCUAUCCUAUGGAAGUGUUACCUAUAUGGGUGUGCCUAUUAACACUACAGAUGUACCUGUGAUCUCUACAACUGUUCCAUUCUAUGCUAUAGCUGCAACAGCAAUGCCAACCCUAUACAAGUGGGCACUACAUAUGUAUCGUAGCACAGUCAUAGAUAUUCUGCUUUUUUACUGCAAAGUGGGAAAGCUUUCUCUACCCUAUGGAAGUGGCAUGUAAGGCCUAGUAUAGAAAAGUGUACAUCUAGUAUAGAAAAGUGGGCACUACACAUGUACCGUGGCACACUUGUAAAUAUUUCUAUUUUUUUCUGCAAUGUGCCAAAACUUUUCCAACCCUAUGAAAUUGGCAGCUAUAUGGGUGUGCCCAUUACCAGUACAGCUGUUCGGCUGAGCUAUACAACUGUCCCAUUAUAUUCUAUAACUGCAAAAGCAAAGCCUACCCUAAAAAAGUGACUGCUAUAUGGGUGUGCCCAUUAACACUACUGUUGUACCUAUGAGCUCUACAACUGUUCCAAUCUAUUUUAUUACUGCAAAAGCAAAACCUAUCCUAUGGAAGUGUUACCUA